UGAACGCUGGCGGUAGGCCUAACACAUGCAAGUCGAACGGCAGCACAGUAAGAGCUUGCUCUUACGGGUGGCGAGUGGCGGACGGGUGAGGAAUACAUCGGAAUCUACUUUUUCGUGGGGGAUAACGUAGGGAAACUUACGCUAAUACCGCAUACGACCUACGGGUGAAAGCAGGGGAUCUUCGGACCUUGCGCGAUUGAAUGAGCCGAUGUCGGAUUAGCUAGUUGGCGGGGUAAAGGCCCACCAAGGCGACGAUCCGUAGCUGGUCUGAGAGGAUGAUCAGCCACACUGGAACUGAGACACGGUCCAGACUCCUACGGGAGGCAGCAGUGGGGAAUAUUGGACAAUGGGCGCAGGCCUGAUCCAGCCAUACCGCGUGGGUGAAGAAGGCCUUCGGGUUGUAAAGCCCUUUUGUUGGGAAAGAAAAGCAGCAGGUUAACACCCCGCUGUUCUGACGGUACCCAAAGAAUAAGCACCGGCUAACUUCGUG
This 490-nucleotide ribosomal RNA is filed under the name uncultured bacterium. RNAcentral describes it as "partial 16S ribosomal RNA". It matches the Rfam family "Bacterial small subunit ribosomal RNA", at positions 30 to 507 of the family's 1533-position model. The record is from RNAcentral.